RNAcentral lists this unclassified non-coding RNA (377 nucleotides) under uncultured fungus. Its description in RNAcentral is "sequence contains ITS1". The stretch from base 1 to 108 matches the Rfam family "5.8S ribosomal RNA", at positions 50 to 154 of the family's 154-position model. Lineage: Eukaryota; Fungi. The record is from RNAcentral.
AAAGUGCGACAAGUGUCACGACUUGCAGAUUCCCGGGAGCUGACAACUUUCUGAAUGCAAAUUGCGGACCGACUCUCUGCCCUGUCGGCCAUGUGCUGCAGAGUGUUGUUGCCUUGUGCAUUACAUCUCUCUGGUGUCUUCGAAAGAAGUGCCAGGAGGAUUCGGGGUUGAGCAGAAAGAAGGACCUUUCCGGCCCAUCUGGACUGCUCAGCUCUGAGAUUUGCGCAAGCUCGACGUCAAAGACGAGCCUGCCUUGAUUGUCUUCUGGUCCUCCAGACACACAACAGGCAGAGCACAACCAAGUCUUUCGUACGAAGCUCGCUGCCUCACCCAUCUCUUGCUGACCUCUGCAACAUAAGAAAACCCGCUGAACUUAA